CCUACGGGGGGCAGCAGUGGGGAAUAUUGCGCAAUGGGCGAAAGCCUGACGCAGCGACGCCGCGUGAGUGAUGAAGGUCUUCGGAUCGUAAACCUCUGUCAGCAGGGAAGAACGGUCACUGUGCUAAUCAGCAGUGAAUUGACGGUACCUGCAAAGGAAGCACCGGCUAACUCCGUGCCAGCAGCCGCGGUAAUACGUAGGGUGCGAGCGUUAAUCGGAAUUACUGGGCGUAAAGCGCUCGUAGGCGGUAUGUCAAGUCAAGGGUGAAAUCCCCGCGCUUAACGUGGGAACUGCCUUUGAAACUGGCAAACUGGAGUGUGUGAGAGGAUAGUGGAAGUCCAGGUGUAGGAGUGAAAUGCGUAGAUAUCUGUAGGAACACCAGUGGCGAAGGCGACUAUCUGGCACAUAACUGACGCUGAGGAGCGAAAGCGUGGGUAGCAAACAGGAUUAGAUACCCGGGUAGUC
This 465-nucleotide ribosomal RNA is filed under the name uncultured bacterium. Its description in RNAcentral is "partial 16S ribosomal RNA". It matches the Rfam family "Bacterial small subunit ribosomal RNA", at positions 338 to 795 of the family's 1533-position model. The record is from RNAcentral.